This 817-nucleotide ribosomal RNA is filed under the name Penicillium sp. 795_2_CP01. RNAcentral describes it as "eukaryotic LSU rRNA". It matches the Rfam family "Eukaryotic large subunit ribosomal RNA", at positions 90 to 925 of the family's 3401-position model. Lineage: Eukaryota; Fungi; Ascomycota; Eurotiomycetes; Eurotiales; Aspergillaceae. RNAcentral also lists the same sequence under 2 other names. The record is from RNAcentral.
CGAGUGAAGCGGCAAGAGCUCAAAUUUGAAAGCUGGCUCCUUCGGGGUCCGCAUUGUAAUUUGCAGAGGAUGCUUCGGGAGCGGUCCCCAUCUAAGUGCCCUGGAACGGGACGUCAUAGAGGGUGAGAAUCCCGUAUGGGAUGGGGUGUCCGCGCCCGUGUGAAGCUCCUUCGACGAGUCGAGUUGUUUGGGAAUGCAGCUCUAAAUGGGUGGUAAAUUUCAUCUAAAGCUAAAUAUUGGCCGGAGACCGAUAGCGCACAAGUAGAGUGAUCGAAAGAUGAAAAGCACUUUGAAAAGAGAGUUAAAAAGCACGUGAAAUUGUUGAAAGGGAAGCGCUUGCGACCAGACUCGCUCGCGGGGUUCAGCCGGCAUUCGUGCCGGUGUAUUUCCCCGCGGGCGGGCCAGCGUCGGUUUGGGCGGUCGGUCAAAGGCCCUCGGAAGGUAACGCCCCUAGGGGCGUCUUAUAGCCGAGGGUGCAAUGCGACCUGCCUAGACCGAGGAACGCGCUUCGGCUCGGACGCUGGCAUAAUGGUCGUAAGCGACCCGUCUUGAAACACGGACCAAGGAGUCUAACAUCUACGCGAGUGUUCGGGUGUCAAACCCGUGCGCGAAGUGAAAGCGAACGGAGGUGGGAACCCUUACGGGUGCACCAUCGACCGAUCCUGAAGUCUUCGGAUGGAUUUGAGUAAGAGCGUAGCUGUUGGGACCCGAAAGAUGGUGAACUAUGCCUGAAUAGGGCGAAGCCAGAGGAAACUCUGGUGGAGGCUCGUAGCGGUUCUGACGUGCAAAUCGAUCGUCGAAUUUGGGUAUAGGGGCG